RNAcentral lists this ribosomal RNA (301 nucleotides) under uncultured bacterium. RNAcentral describes it as "partial 16S ribosomal RNA". It matches the Rfam family "Bacterial small subunit ribosomal RNA", at positions 509 to 809 of the family's 1533-position model. The record is from RNAcentral.
CAGUCGCCACGGGAAUACGUAGGUGGCAAGCGUUGUCCGGAUUUAUUGGGCGUAAAGCGAGCGCAGGCGGUCAAUUAAGUCCGAUGUGAAAGCCCCCGGCUCAACCGGGGAGGGUCAUUGGAAACUGGUUGACUUGAGUGCAGAAGAGGAGAGUGGAAUUCCAUGUGUAGCGGUGAAAUGCGUAGAUAUAUGGAGGAACACCAGUGGCGAAGGCGACUCUCUGGUCUGUAACUGACGCUGAGGCUCGAAAGCGUGGGUAGCAAACAGGAUUAGAUACCCCAGGUCCCUGUCUCUUAUACAC